ACGGAGGAUCCGAGCGUUAUCCGGAUUUAUUGGGUUUAAAGGGAGCGUAGAUGGAUGUUUAAGUCAGUUGUGAAAGUUUGCGGCUCAACCGUAAAAUUGCAGUUGAUACUGGAUAUCUUGAGUGCAGUUGAGGCAGGCGGAAUUCGUGGUGUAGCGGUGAAAUGCUUAGAUAUCACGAAGAACUCCAAUUGCGAAGGCAGCCUGCUAAGCUGCAACUGACAUUGAGGCUCGAAAGUGUGGGUAUCAAACAG
Molecule: ribosomal RNA, 251 nt
Filed under: uncultured bacterium
Lineage: Bacteria
Description: partial 16S ribosomal RNA
Rfam family: Bacterial small subunit ribosomal RNA
Source: RNAcentral